This is a non-coding RNA of Acanthosepion pharaonis, 97 nucleotides long. The record is from the annotation of a GenBank genome assembly. Lineage: Eukaryota; Metazoa; Mollusca; Cephalopoda; Sepiida; Sepiidae.
UUCAAACACCAGUUCUCGUACGAUCACCGAAGUUAAGCAACGCCGAGCCUUAUCAGUACCUUGAUGGGUAACCACUUGGGAAUAUCAUAUGCUGGAU